GCAAGUCGAACGCUCACCUUCGGGUGGGAGUGGCAGACGGGUGAGUAACACGUGGGAACGUACCCUUUGGUUCGGGACAACUCUGGGAAACUGGAGCUAAUACCGGAUACGCCCUUUUGGGGAAAGGUUUACUGCCGAAGGAUCGGCCCGCGUCUGAUUAGCUAGUUGGUGGGGUAACGGCCUACCAAGGCGACGAUCAGUAGCUGGUCUGAGAGGAUGAUCAGCCACACUGGGACUGAGACACGGCCCAGACUCCUACGGGAGGCAGCAGUGGGGAAUAUUGGACAAUGGGCGCAAGCCUGAUCCAGCCAUGCCGCGUGAGUGAUGAAGGCCUUAGGGUUGUAAAGCUCUUUUAUCCGGGACGAUAAUGACGGUACCGGAGGAAUAAGCCCCGGCUAACUUCGUGCCAGCAGCCGCGGUAAUACGAAGGGGGCUAGCGUUGCUCGGAAUCACUGGGCGUAAAGGGCGCGUAGGCGGCGUUUUAAGUCGGGGGUGAAAGCCUGUGGCUCAACCACAGAAUGGCCUUCGAUACUGGGACGCUUGAGUCUGGUAAGGUUGGUGGAACUGCGAG
This 571-nucleotide ribosomal RNA is filed under the name uncultured bacterium. Its description in RNAcentral is "bacterial SSU rRNA". It matches the Rfam family "Bacterial small subunit ribosomal RNA", at positions 57 to 673 of the family's 1533-position model. The record is from RNAcentral.